This is a non-coding RNA of Misgurnus anguillicaudatus (oriental weatherfish), 415 nucleotides long. NCBI's taxonomy places the organism in Eukaryota, Metazoa, Chordata, Actinopteri, Cypriniformes, Cobitidae. The record is from RefSeq and is a predicted model, not a curated record.
AAGGUUGCAAAUGCAGUCGACAGACAAUUUAUCCAUAUGAUAAAAUAUUGGAAAGACGGAUGAAUGAGGGGAAGGCAGCAGAGGUCAAAGUACGCUACCUUGUUCUUCCUGGUCAUACCUGAAAGGAGAGAUAGAAAUAUGAAGAGAGAAAAUCACAGACGUGUUGCUUCUUCAGUACUUUUAUCCUGAAUAAAGCGCGUCUCGGGACGUUCACUCUAUCCGCGCAUGACGACAGGCACGCAGUGGCAGAGUCUGGGAGGACACCUGGGAGCCGGCCAGCAAUACUGUUGUGCUAUUUGUUUUGUAUAUAUUUGUCGAUAAUUAAAUUCACAAUUUUUACAUUUUAUGAUUUGUCUGCCAAUCAUUGACUUCACUGAAUACUUAAGGUGUCAUGACUUUUGUGUGUAUUUGAUGG